Molecule: ribosomal RNA, 500 nt
Filed under: uncultured bacterium
Lineage: Bacteria
Description: partial 16S ribosomal RNA
Rfam family: Bacterial small subunit ribosomal RNA
Source: RNAcentral
AUUGAACGCUGGCGGAAUGCUUUACACAUGCAAGUCGAACGAUGAGACCUAGCUUGCUAGGUUGAUUAGUGGCGAACGGGUGAGUAAUGUAUCGGAACGUAUCCAAUAAUGGGGGAUAACUAACCGAAAGGUUAGCUAAUACCGCAUACGCCCUACGGGGGAAAGCAGGGGAUCUUCGGACCUUGCGUUAAUGGAGCGGCCGAUAUCUGAUUAGCUAGUUGGUGAGGUAAAGGCUCACCAAGGCGACGAUCAGUAGCUGGUCUGAGAGGACGACCAGCCACACUGGAACUGAGACACGGUACAGACUCCUACGGGAGGCAGCAGUGGGGAAUUUUGGACAAUGGGCGAAAGCCUGAUCCAGCCAUUCCGCGUGAGUGAAGAAGGCCUUCGGGUUGUAAAGCUCUUUCGCAAGGGAAGAAAACUUACUUUCUAAUAAAGAGUGAGGUUGACGGUACCUUGAUAAGAAGCACCGGCUAACUACGUGCCAGCCGCCGCCGUAA